CGGGACACGUGGUAUCCUGUCUGAAUAUGGGGGGACCAUCCUCCAAGGCUAAAUACUCCUGACUGACCGAUAGUGAACCAGUACCGUGAGGGAAAGGCGAAAAGAACCCCGGCGAGGGGAGUGAAAAAGAACCUGAAACCGUGUACGUACAAGCAGUGGGAGCACGCUUAGGCGUGUGACUGCGUACCUUUUGUAUAAUGGGUCAGCGACUUAUAUUCUGUAGCAAGGUUAACCGAAUAGGGGAGCCGAAGGGAAACCGAGUCUUAACUGGGCGUUAAGUUGCAGGGUAUAGACCCGAAACCCGGUGAUCUAGCCAUGGGCAGGUUGAAGGUUGGGUAACACUAACUGGAGGACCGAACCGACUAAUGUUGAAAAAUUAGCGGAUGACUUGUGGCUGGGGGUGAAAGGCCAAUCAAACCGGGAGAUAGCUGGUUCUCCCCGAAAGCUAUUUAGGUAGCGCCUCGUGAAUUCAUCUCCGGGGGUAGAGCACUGUUUCGGCAAGGGGGUCAUCCCGACUUACCAACCCGAUGCAAACUGCGAAUACCGGAGAAUGUUAUCACGGGAGACACACGGCGGGUGCUAACGUCCGUCGUGAAGAGGGAAACAACCCAGACCGCCAGCUAAGGUCCCAAAGUCAUGGUUAAGUGGGAAACGAUGUGGGAAGGCCCAGACAGCCAGGAUGUUGGCUUAGAAGCAGCCAUCAUUUAAAGAAAGCGUAAUAGCUCACUGGUCGAGUCGGCCUGCGCGGAAGAUGUAACGGGGCUAAACCAUGCACCGAAGCUGCGGCAGCGACGCUGAUGCGUUGUUGGGUAGGGGAGCGUUCUGUAAGCCUGUGAAGGUGUGCUGUGAGGCAUGCUGGAGGUAUCAGAAGUGCGAAUGCUGACAUAAGUAACGAUAAAGCGGGUGAAAAGCCCGCUCGCCGGAAGACCAAGGGUUCCUG
RNAcentral lists this ribosomal RNA (940 nucleotides) under Escherichia coli. RNAcentral describes it as "partial 23S ribosomal RNA". It matches the Rfam family "Bacterial large subunit ribosomal RNA", at positions 418 to 1357 of the family's 2925-position model. The record is from RNAcentral. Lineage: Bacteria; Pseudomonadati; Pseudomonadota; Gammaproteobacteria; Enterobacterales; Enterobacteriaceae.